Molecule: ribosomal RNA, 521 nt
Filed under: uncultured Glomeraceae
Lineage: Eukaryota; Fungi; Glomeromycota; Glomeromycetes; Glomerales; Glomeraceae
Description: SSU rRNA
Rfam family: Eukaryotic small subunit ribosomal RNA
Source: RNAcentral
AGCAGCCGCGGUAAUUCCAGCUCCAAUAGCGUAUAUUAAAGUUGUUGCAGUUAAAAAGCUCGUAGUUGAAUUUCGGGAUCAAAGAAUCGGUCAUGCCUUGGUAUGUACUGGUUUUAUUGGUUCUCACCUUCUAAAGAACCAUGAUGUCAUUCAUUUGAUGUUAUGGGGAAUUAGGACUGUUACCUUGAAAAAAUUAGAGUGUUUAAAGCAAGCUUACGCUUGAAUACAUUAGCAUGGAAUAAUGAAAUAGGACAUCAGAUUCUAUUUUGUUGGUUUCUAGGAUCGAUGUAAUGAUUAAUAGGGAUAGUUGGGGGCAUUAGUAUUCAAUUGUCAGAGGUGAAAUUCUUGGAUUUAUUGAAGACUAACUACUGCGAAAGCAUUUGCCAAGGAUGUUUUCAUUAAUCAAGAACGAAAGUUAGGGGAUCGAAGACGAUCAGAUACCGUCGUAGUCUUAACCAUAAACUAUGCCGACUAGGGAUCGGAUGAUGUUAAUUUUUUAAUGACUCAUUCGGCACCUUACG